Molecule: long non-coding RNA, 5990 nt
Filed under: Homo sapiens (human)
Lineage: Eukaryota; Metazoa; Chordata; Mammalia; Primates; Hominidae
Description: HSALNT0118636
Source: RNAcentral
UUGAUCUGGGACCUCUCAGGCUACAGAACUAGAGUCCUUUCUAUGGAGGAGACAUUAUGCUAGAAUUUUCACACAGAUUAUUUUAUUUAACUCCAAGAACUACUCCAUGAAAUAGGCAUGAUCAUCACCUUCAUUGUUUACAGAAGAAAUAUAGAGGAGUCAUCCUUAGAUUUUAAAAGGUUUUGCCUGCUGUUGAACUACUUGGACUUCCAAAUCAUGGGCCCAUUGCAAGAAAAAAAAAGUGAUUACAGAAAAUAAUAUGCUUGAAAGUCAAAGACAGAUGAUGAUUUGCUGACCUGUCCUUCAGUGAUUGCUGAGCUUCAUUGUCCCAGACCAAGGCACUUAGUCCUGUUCAAGUACCUACUUUAUCAUCCAUUAGAUGCUUCGCCAUCCUGGAGAGCUCAUCUCCUAGGACCUAUUGAAUUCAGAGACAAAAAUAGGCUUUUGAUAACUUCAGAGAUGAUAACAUUGGAAUAAAGGAAAAUGUACAGGACUCAUGAAGAGCUGAAAUGUUCACAAAUAGUAAGCAAAACAACAGUUAACUAAAUGAACUGAACUCAGCAACCUGAAUCAAACUUUUUGACUACUGUUUGGAAUAUUGCUAAUCCAUGCUUUGUUUUUCAGAGUCAAGGAAACUUAUUUUUAAGUAUUUAUGGCCUUAAAUAAUUAAGUAAAGUAUAUGCUCUCAUAAUCAAGAUUUGAAGCACGUUUGUUUCUCUCUGCCUGGUUCCUCUAGGAUUUGGACCCUACCUAAAAUCCAGGAAAGAAAUAUAAAACCACCGAUGGUCAUCAGACCUGUAAUGUGACUCUGAAACAAAACGCUGUAACAGUUUAUGUGCAAGUGGAGAAAUACACAGCUCAAAUCUGGAGAGCCAGCUCUGGAGGCCAUGCCAGAAUGAAAUAUCAAGCAGAAACUGAAUGGAGAAGAGAAAAAUGCAGCCCUGUCUGAGCAAGAGGGGAAUGCAGAUAAAUGCCACUCUCAGAGAGAAAGCAAAGGGGGAGAUAUGGACACCAUGUCUGAGACCUGGAGGAAUUGAAAUGAAGGUUAAAGAGGCUUUGAAAGAGACCAGAGCUAUCAGCCUGGGGAAAGCUUUGCUUCAGGAAAGUUAGUGGAAGCACAAAGCAUGUCAAGAAUUAAAACUAUCUCCAAAAUAAUUAUUCAGACAAUGGAUGCUAAAACCAAUGAGUUAAUAGGACAGUUAUACAAUCUCAAAGUGUCUCCCCAUAAGUUACAUAUUAAUUAGAAAGGAAAAAGUGCCUUUACAGUGGAGUGAUCUGAUAGCCACCACAGUAACCAAGUAAUCAACAUUUUCAUGACAAAUAAUGGGACACAAUUAGUGUGACAUGAUACUCUGGGAAGAUAUCACUUUUUUGGUAUUCCUGCCAAAAAUAGCUGACUUGAAUCUAAUCUUGGGAAAAUAAUUAAUAGUUACAAACUGAGGAACAUUCUCCAAAACAUUUGGCCUGUUCUCCUAAAAAAGAAAGUCAGCUUAAGAAAGACAAAGAAACUGUGCAUGAUUAAAGAAAACUUAAAAGGCAUAAAAUAAAUGCAGUUCAUGAUCCUGGACUGUAUUGUGGAUCAGAAAAAAAAAUCGUACAAAUUGUGAAUGGAGGCAUUGUAAAAAUUUUAAUAUGAAUUACAUCAAAUAAUAUGUUAUUAAACUUAAACUUGAAUUUAAUAAUUGUACAAAAUUAGGGAAUAUGAUUUCUUUGUUCUAAGUUUGAGAGAUGUGAGGUUACAAUGCCCACUAAUUAUUUCAGCUGGCUCAUAAAAAUUAUAAUAGUAUUAACAAUUUGUAAAUUUAGGUAAAAGUGUAUGCCGUUUCAAUGUUUUAGUCUUAUAAAUUUUUGGAUGGAAUAUUUUUAAAAAUUAAAGUUAAGCUAAGCACAGUGGCUCACGCCUGUAAUCCCAGCACUUUGGGAGGCCAAGGUGGGUGAAUCAGCUAAGGUCAGGAAUUUGAGACCUGCCUAGCCAAUAUGGUGAAACCCUGUCUCCACUAAAAACACAAAAUAGGUAGAUACAUAAUACAAAUAGAAGACAGAUAGAUAAUUGUUUAUUUAACAUUAUUGUAUUUGUUGCAAUAACCAACCUUUUUACUUAAAAACCAUUUAACAAAAUAUUUAAAUUUAGGAAUAAAAUUAAAAUCUUAAAACCCCAAAACAAAAUUAAAAAUCACCUUGCAAGCAGUUAAACUGAAUGAAAACAAUGAAUAAUGGGAAAAAAUAGAAAAAAAAAUAUUUCUUCUAGGAUCCAAAGGAAAAUGUAAAAGAUACAUAUGUUCAAAUAAACAUUGAAAACAAUGGACACAAAGACUAUAGUUAACUAUAGUUAUAGCCAACUAGUUGACUAUAUAUACCUUUUUCAACCACUAGUAACCACUAUUCUACUCUCUACUUCUACAAGAUUAACUUUUUUAGCUUCCAUAUAUGAGUGAGAGCAUUUUAUAUUUCUUUGCCUGACUUAUUCAUGUAACAUAAUGUCCUCCAGGCUCACCCAUAUUGCCAUGAAUUACAGGAUUUCAUUCUUUUUAUAGCCGAAUACUAUUCCAUUAGAUGUAUAUACCACAUUUUCUUUAUUCAUUCAUCCAUUGAUGGGCACUUAAAUUGAUUCUAUAUCUUUGCUACUGUCAAUAUGCUGCAAUAAACACAGUAGCGCAUAUAUCUCUUUGACAUACUGAUUUCCUUUCUUUCGGAUACAAACCCAGCAGUGGGAUUGCCCGGUCAUAUUUUUAGCUUUUUGAGGAAACUCCCUACUUUUUUUUUUUUAAAUAAUGGCUGUAUUAAUUUACACUUCUACCAACAGUGUAUAAAAAGAGUCUCCUUUUAUCUGCAUCCUCGACAGCACUUGCUAAUUUUUGCCUUUUUUGUAGCCAUUCUAAUUGGGAUGAGAUGAUAUCACAUUUUGGUUUUGACUUGCAUUUCUCUGAUCAUUAGUGAUUAGUAUUUUUUUUUCACAGACUUGGACAUUUGUAAGUCUUCUUUUGAGAGUUUUCUAUUCAGAUCAUUUGCUCUUUUUUAAUUGGAUUACUAUUUUUUGACUGUUGAGUUUCUUUUAUAUCCUGGAUAUUAAUUCCUUGUCUGAUGAACACGUUACAAAUAUUUCUUCUGGUCUGCAGGUUGUCUUUUCAUUAUUGAUUCUUUCCUUUGAUGUGCAGAAGUUUUUUUUUAUUUUGAUAUAAUCUAAUUUGUUUAUUUUGACUUAUGUUGCCUGGGCUUUUGAGAUGUUAGCCAUAAAUUCUUGGCCAAAACCAGUGUCCCAGAGUAUUUUCUCUAUGUUUUCUUUUAGUAAUUUCAUAGUUUCGGGUCUUUAAGUCUUUAGUCCAUUUGGGGCUGAUUUUUUAUAUGGUGAGAGGUAGGAGUCUAGUUUCAUUCUUCUACAUAUGGAUAUACAGUUUUUCCAGCACCAUUUAUUGAAAAGACCAAUAAAUGUUCUUGGCACCUUUGUCAAAAAUCAGUUGGCUAUAAAUAGAUUAAUAUGGGGCUUUUGUUCCAUUGACCUAUGUGUCUAUUUUUAUAAUUAUGCUGUUUUGGUUACUAUAGCUUUGUAGAAUAUUUUGAACACAGAUAAUGUGAUGCCUUCAGCUUUGUUUUCCUUCCUCAGGAUUACUUUGACUAUUUGGUGUCUUUUGUGGUUUGUACAAAUUUUAGGAUUGUAUUUUUUCUAUUUCUGUAAAGAAUGCCACUGGUAUUUUGAUAGGGGUUGCAUUGAAUCUGUAGAUCACUUUGAGUAGUGUGGUAAUUUUAACAAUAUUUCCCCUUCCAAUUUAUGACAUGAGAUGUCUUUUCAUUUUUGUGGGUGUCCCCUUCAGUUUCUUUCAUCAUUGUUUUAUAGUUUCCUUGAUGGACAUUUUUCAUCUCCUUUGUUAAAUUUACUCCUAGGUAUUUUAUUUAUUGGGUAGCCAUUAUACAUGAAAUUGCUUUCUUGAAUUCUUUUUUCACCUAGUUCAUUACUGGUAUACAAAAAUGCUACUAAUUUUUGUAUGUUGAUUUUGUAUACUGCAACAUUACUGAAUUCAUCUAUCCAUUUUAAAAGUUUUUUUGGUGAAAUCUAGCUUUUUCUCUAUUUAAGGUCAUGUUGGCACGGAGAGAUAAUUCAACUUUCUUCUUUUUAAUUUGGAUACUUUCUUUCUUUUUUUUGCCUAAUUGCUAUGGCUAGGACUUUCAGUUCUAUGUUGAAUGAGAGUGGCGAGAGUGAGCACCCUUGUCUUGUUCCAGUUCUUAGAAAAAAAAAACCUUCAGCUUUUCCUUGUAUAGUGUAAUGUUAAUUGUUGCUUUGUCAUAUUUUGCUUUUAUUUUGUUAUAUGCUGGAACUCCUGUUCUUAAUCUUAUCUAUAAAAUCCUUAUAUGAGAUAAAAACAUAAAAUGUCACAUAAAUGAGGUAUUAGUAUGAAUUUUUUUGGUCAUAUUUUGACUGGUUUUCACAUAAACAAUGGUAAAAAAAAAAAAAAAUAGUCUCUCCACAAGACUUCUGAGCAUGCUACCCUGAAAAUAGCUCAGACAAAUAAGAUUCUAUGCCACCUAUCUUUGCCUCAGAAAUAUAUUUCAGAAGCUAAUAAUUUUCAGAACCUGGAAAUAGUCCUCAGGUAUGCAAUUUAUAUUCUUUAUUAGGUAGUGUCAUUUAGGACUCUUUGUUUUAUCUUUGGUAAAAAUAAAUACUGGUGAUUAUAUCUUUGAUGACUUCUUGAGUACCCUUUAGCCUUCUAGUCUUAGGCUUUUAAUUUUUUAUCAUGUAUUUCCUUCUCCAGUUCUUUGCACAUCAUUGAAAUAUUUUUGGCAACAAUAAACAAUUAGCUCCACAAUAUCUACAAAUACCAACAAUAAAAGACUUACAAUAACAUCUUUGUUCACUAAUGCUAGUGGAUUUUUUAAUGUCAUAGUUUUUAAUGCACUCAAGUAAAAAUGAAAAACAAAAAUUACUUGAUUCAAAUUCUAAGACUUAAUAGAACCUUUAGCCUUAAAUUACAGAUUAGAGAUGAAGACUGCCCAGAAAAUAAGUGAAUGAGAAAAUACACCAACUCUUUUUUUAAAAAAACAAAGGAUUUGGUCAGAAAAAACAAAAGAAGUGUAGAUUGUUUUUAUUUCUUUGUGUCUUUAGCAAAUUAACAUAACCUUCUCUGUUCAAUGUGCAGCAGCUUCCCAUGGUUCAAUGAAAGUGGACAGUAAGAAUCACACAACUGAAAAGAAUAACGAGACACCAUUUUAUUUAUUCCCCUCACUAGGUUUACUUUACCUAAAUCUUCUCUAGAGUUUUCAUAAAAGCCUUUGGCAGAAAUACAAAAUUCUUAGGAGAGCCAUAGUACUUUAUUAAAUCUCCACCAUGGUAUUCAUAAACAAUUUUCAUAUAUGCAUACAGACUAUUUACUGUCUGUUGUUUUCUAGUUCUCAAGUUAAAAUGUAAUUACCACCAGAAGUUAAGUUUACAUUUUCCAGUUCUAGCUCUCCUGCUCUUUCUGGUGUUUUACACAGAAUCCUAGUACAUUAAGAAAAUAAACUCUCAGAAUGCAGUUAAAAGAAAACGCCAGUUAUUAUAAAAGUUUCCAAUAUAAUUCUUUUUUUAACAGCUUUAUUGGGGUAUAGCUGAUGUAUGAUAAACCAUAUCUUGUUAAAAAGCAACAUUUGAUAAAUUGUUACGUAUGCAUCUAGGAAACAUUACAAUAAUCACGAUAAAGAACAUAUUUAUCUUCCUCAGAGUUUCUUGGUGCCCCAGUAAAAUCUCUCCCUUUGUAGUCUCCAUUUGAAUACAAAAUGUAGUGAAUGAAUGUUCAAAGAGAAGGUGGCCUACAAACAUCAAGCCUUUUUGGUAUGUAUCAACAAGGAAUUAUAUCCUGUAUGCAAAUACAUUAAGAAUGAUAUUCCAACCAGAUCUUGAGGACAGUCACCCAGCAAAGACACCACUAUCUAAACUGCCACUCUAUUAAAGAAAAACACACUUUGGAGUGUGUGUGGUGGUAAAAAUUACUUUAUCCACUAGUAUUUGAGGAGCUCCAUAG